UGGGGAAUAUUGCACAAUGGGGGAAACCCUGAUGCAGCAACGCCGCGUGAGUGAUGACGGUCUUCGGAUUGUAAAGCUCUGUCUUCAGGGACGAUAAUGACGGUACCUGAGGAGGAAGCCACGGCUAACUACGUGCCAGCAGCCGCGGUAAUACGUAGGUGGCAAGCGUUGUCCGGAUUUACUGGGCGUAAAGGGAGCGUAGGCGGAUUUUUAAGUGGGAUGUGAAAUACCCGGGCUUAACCUGGGUGCUGCAUUCCAAACUGGAAGUCUAGAGUGCAGGAGGGGAAAGCGGAAUUCCUAGUGUAGCGGUGAAAUGCGUAGAGAUUAGGAAGAACACCAGUGGCGAAGGCGGCUUUCUGGACUGUAACUGACGCUGAGGCUCGAAAGCGUGGGGAGCGAACAGG
RNAcentral lists this ribosomal RNA (404 nucleotides) under uncultured bacterium. RNAcentral describes it as "bacterial SSU rRNA". It matches the Rfam family "Bacterial small subunit ribosomal RNA", at positions 355 to 776 of the family's 1533-position model. The record is from RNAcentral.